CCUACGGGGGGCUGCAGUCGAGGAUCUUCGGCAAUGGGCGCAAGCCUGACCGAGCGAUGCCGCGUGGGCGACGAAGGCCUUCGGGUUGUAAAGCCCUGUCGGGAGGGAGAAAGGCGUAAGCUUGAUCGACCUCCGGAGGAAGCACGGGCUAAGUUCGUGCCAGCAGCCGCGGUAAGACGAACCGUGCGAACGUUGUUCGGAAUCACUGGGCUUAAAGGGCGCGUAGGCGGGCCGCCAAGUCUGGGGUGAAAUCCUCCGGCUCAACCGGAGAAGUG
RNAcentral lists this ribosomal RNA (275 nucleotides) under uncultured bacterium. RNAcentral describes it as "partial 16S ribosomal RNA". It matches the Rfam family "Bacterial small subunit ribosomal RNA", at positions 338 to 623 of the family's 1533-position model. The record is from RNAcentral.